AAAAGAGAAGGACGUUCAAAGUACCGCAGCCGUGCAGAUUUGGAGUUACUCAAUAAUUUCCAUUCUUAAAUUUGGCUUUCAGCUGCUUGUGCCUUGUCAAAGGAGAUUGGAUCCAAGUGGAUUACGUAUUACAUUGCCUAUUCUCAGAGCUGGUUGAUUUGCAAGCUUCAGCAAAACUGAUCUAGCAAAUUUGGAAAAAGUCUGACACAAACAAGUUUAAUUUCCUUAAGUCAGAAUUCUUGGAGCUCUCGUGCCCAAACUGCAAUGCCUCAUUUUUGAGCAGGAAUUGAGGCUCAGAAGGAAGAUCUGAUUCCAGUCUGGAUCAGUUACCAGUUUUCCCUCUCACCUAAGUCUGGCAAAGAUACAAACCUCUGAAAAACACACUGUUUCAUGUACCCUUUAGAUAUCUGGUGGAGUGGGUAAGUUCUUGGAUGAUUUCAUCUCCAAACCCAAGGCUCCAGCCCAGCUUAAUCUCAGGAGUUCUUCCUCUGUAACUGAGCACUGAAGCCAAGAGCAAAGAAAUGCUAUGCUUGCAGCAGAAGCAUAUGGAUGCAUGAAGAAGAGCUGUGAAGAGCAGACAAAGACGAGGCAGACUAGUCACCACUCAGGAGCUCCUGUGGGAUGUUUUGUCUCCUCCUUCUCCUGGGAGGAAGGUUAUACCAGGAGUUUCCAGCUGUGCUCAAAUGCUGUGCAAAUAUGAACUUUUUUUAAAAAAAAAAUAUCCAUCUUUUUAAAAGGUGAGAGCCAGGCAUCUGUGCAAAGAGCUGCAGGAAAUGAUGGAUAAAGUUGGGAAGCUUGAUACAAACACGAGUGGUUCUGCAACUCAAUCUAUUUGUUUUGCGCUUAAUUGUGGCUUAGAUUGAAAUGAAGCUAAAUGCCAGCCCUGUCAGUCUAGCACAGAAAUGGUGCAAAACAUGGAAAUCCGGCUGCAAAAUUCACAUUGCUCAAGGCAAUCUGCAUUUGUAGUCGGAGGGAAAGGCAUCCCAUCUCGCUGCCCCUAUGACACACACAGUCAGCUGUUGGGGUGAUGUAUAUGCUGCUGUCUACUGUAAGUGCUGGUGAUACUUCCCAUGUAGAAAAUUCCGUCAGUGUGACAGAUAUCCUCUGCCAACACAUCGAAACGGAAAGCCUGCCGCAAUCCUAAUAGAAAUAUCCUGGGAGACUCUCAGCUCUGUUGAAUUAAGGAAGGAAGAAUAGAUCAGAUGUUUUUUUCUAAGCCCGGUUAACUCCACCAGAACAGGACACAGCUGUGAAUCCCUUGAAGGCAGCACACAUUCUCUGCCAAGUUAGAAGGCAAUUAUUCUUCAUAAAUCUGUCUGUUUAAAUUCAUGUGGAUCGAUUGCCUCGUCUAUCCUUUCCCUGUGCGAGCACCCGGAAAGGCUCUUUGGGCACCACCUCCAACAAAGCACCCCGCUUAUCAGAGAGCCACACCACGGAGGCAGUGACAGCCCCGUCAGCGCUGUCUGUCCCUU
Long non-coding RNA from Oxyura jamaicensis (ruddy duck), 1472 nucleotides. RefSeq lists it as uncharacterized. The record is from RefSeq and is a predicted model, not a curated record. Lineage: Eukaryota; Metazoa; Chordata; Aves; Anseriformes; Anatidae. The transcript is spliced from 2 exons.